CAGCCGCCACGGUAAUACGUAGGGUGCAAGCGUUAAUCGGAAUUACUGGGCGUAAAGCGUGCGCAGGCGGUUUGUUAAGACAGAUGUGAAAUCCCCGGGCUCAACCUGGGAACUGCAUUUGUGACUGGCAAGCUAGAGUCUGGCAGAGGGGGGUGGAAUUCCGCGUGUAGCAGUGAAAUGCGUAGAUAUGCGGAGGAACACCGAUGGCGAAGGCAGCCCCCUGGGCCAACACUGACGCUCAUGCACGAAAGCGUGGGGAGCAAACAGGAUUAGAUACCCGCGUAGUCCCUGUCUCUUAUAC
This 301-nucleotide ribosomal RNA is filed under the name uncultured bacterium. RNAcentral describes it as "partial 16S ribosomal RNA". It matches the Rfam family "Bacterial small subunit ribosomal RNA", at positions 509 to 807 of the family's 1533-position model. The record is from RNAcentral.